UACGUAGGGUGCAAGCGUUGUCCGGAAUUAUUGGGCGUAAAGAGCUCGUAGGCGGUUUGUCACGACUGCUGUGAAAACUGGAGGCUCAACCUCCAGCUUGCAGUGGGUACGGGCAGACUAGAGUGCGGUAGGGGAGAUUGGAAUUCCUGGUGUAGCGGUGGAAUGCGCAGAUAUCAGGAGGAACACCGAUGGCGAAGGCAGAUCUCUGGGCCGUAACUGACGCUGAGGAGCGAAAGCAUGGGGAGCGAACAGG
RNAcentral lists this ribosomal RNA (253 nucleotides) under uncultured bacterium. Its description in RNAcentral is "partial 16S ribosomal RNA". It matches the Rfam family "Bacterial small subunit ribosomal RNA", at positions 524 to 776 of the family's 1533-position model. The record is from RNAcentral.